RNAcentral lists this ribosomal RNA (486 nucleotides) under uncultured bacterium. RNAcentral describes it as "partial 16S ribosomal RNA". It matches the Rfam family "Bacterial small subunit ribosomal RNA", at positions 30 to 507 of the family's 1533-position model. The record is from RNAcentral.
AUUGAACGCUGGCGGCAUGCCUUACACAUGCAAGUCGAACGGCAGCACGGGUGCUUGCACCUGGUGGCGAGUGGCGAACGGGUGAGUAAUACAUCGGAACAUGUCCUGUAGUGGGGGAUAGCCCGGCGAAAGCCGGAUUAAUACCGCAUACGAUCCACGGAUGAAAGCGGGGGACCUUCGGGCCUCGCGCUAUAGGGUUGGCCGAUGGCUGAUUAGCUAGUUGGUGGGGUAAAGGCCUACCAAGGCGACGAUCAGUAGCUGGUCUGAGAGGACGACCAGCCACACUGGGACUGAGACACGGCCCAGACUCCUACGGGAGGCAGCAGUGGGGAAUUUUGGACAAUGGGCGAAAGCCUGAUCCAGCAAUACCGCGUGUGUGAAGAAGGCCUUCGGGUUGUAAAGCACUUUUGUCCGGAAAGAAAUCCUUGACUCUAAUACAGUCGGGGGAUGACGGUACCGGAAGAAUAAGCACCGGCUAACUACGUG